GCCGGCGUAGCUCAGUUGGCUAGAGCAUUCGGUUCAUACCCGGAGUGUCAUUGGUUCGAAUCCGAUCGCCGGUACCA
Molecule: transfer RNA, 77 nt
Filed under: Clostridia bacterium
Lineage: Bacteria; Bacillati; Bacillota; Clostridia
Description: tRNA-Met
Rfam family: tRNA
About the family: Transfer RNA (tRNA) molecules are approximately 80 nucleotides in length. Their secondary structure includes four short double-helical elements and three loops (D, anti-codon, and T loops). Further hydrogen bonds mediate the characteristic L-shaped molecular structure. tRNAs have two regions of fundamental functional importance: the anti-codon, which is responsible for specific mRNA codon recognition, and the 3' end, to which the tRNAs corresponding amino acid is attached (by aminoacyl-tRNA synthetases). tRNAs cope with the degeneracy of the genetic code in two manners: having more than one tRNA (with a specific anti-codon) for a particular amino acid; and 'wobble' base-pairing, i.e. permitting non-standard base-pairing at the 3rd anti-codon position.
Source: RNAcentral